This 169-nucleotide microRNA precursor is filed under the name Triticum aestivum (bread wheat). Its description in RNAcentral is "MIR2118 microRNA precursor family". It matches the Rfam family "MIR2118 microRNA precursor family". RNAcentral also lists the same sequence under 1 other name. The record is from Rfam by way of RNAcentral. Lineage: Eukaryota; Viridiplantae; Streptophyta; Magnoliopsida; Poales; Poaceae.
UUAAGAAAGAGGAAGAAAAUGAGUACCUAAGAGCAUUGCGCAUGGGAACAUAGAGGAAAGCCUAGACUAGUGUUUCCCUCAAAAAUUGGGUGGCAAUAUAUGUUUCUAAGUUUUCCCAAUGCCUCUCACGCCUACCGUUCUUAGGCGCUCCUUCCUCUACCUUUUGACU